Molecule: long non-coding RNA, 565 nt
Organism: Alexandromys fortis (reed vole)
Lineage: Eukaryota; Metazoa; Chordata; Mammalia; Rodentia; Cricetidae
Exons: 3
Source: RefSeq, a predicted model, not a curated record
CGACUUUGGAAGAGCUCCUAUUUCCGGUCUUAUAGCUUCUGGGUCCUAGGGGAGUGGGUGGGACGAGCCCUGAGUCCUGAGUCAAGUAAGGACGUCUGCCCAGCAGCUUUAGAGUUAUCAGUGCAGAACCCUUAAGCAUUCCCUGGGGCACUGCCAUGGGUGAAUUCAGCUUAAGAUGUGCGUCGAGGAGCAGAGCAUGGGGAUGCUGAUGCCAGAGCAGUUAGUUCCUGACCAGCCUGUUCUAGGAAAUCCACAGCAAAGUGAAGGGUUUCUCUAGCUUUGGAGCCACUCCUGGAACUAGCUUUUGUAGACCGGGUUGGCCUCGAACUCACAAAGAUCCUCCUGCUUCUGCCUCCCUAGUGCUGGAAUUAAAGGGCCGCACUACCACUGCCCAGCCGACCUCAUGCAUUCUAAUUAAGUACUCUACCACUGAGCUACAUUCCCAACCCUUUUCUUUUCUAAAAAUAAUUAUUCUUUGAAAAUGCCUUUAUAUAAUGUGUUUGUAUCAUAUUAUCCAUCUACCUUUUUCUUUCUGUUUUUUUUUUAUUUUAAACAUAAUUCUUUG